AUCCAGCUAACUAAUCCCAAAUAGGACGAAACGCGCGUCGUGCAU
This 45-nucleotide non-coding RNA is filed under the name Schistosoma mansoni. Lineage: Eukaryota; Metazoa; Platyhelminthes; Trematoda; Strigeidida; Schistosomatidae. The record is from RNAcentral.